GAUCCUGGCUCAGGAUGAACGCUAGCUACAGGCUUAACACAUGCAAGUCGAGGGGCAGCAUGGCCUUAGCUUGCUAAGGCCGAUGGCGACCGGCGCACGGGUGAGUAACACGUAUCCAACCUGCCGUCUACUCUUGGACAGCCUUCUGAAAGGAAGAUUAAUACAAGAUGGCAUCAUGAGUCCGCAUGUUCACAUGAUUAAAGGUAUUCCGGUAGACGAUGGGGGUGCG
This 229-nucleotide ribosomal RNA is filed under the name uncultured bacterium. RNAcentral describes it as "partial 16S ribosomal RNA". It matches the Rfam family "Bacterial small subunit ribosomal RNA", at positions 15 to 235 of the family's 1533-position model. The record is from RNAcentral.